This 2413-nucleotide long non-coding RNA is filed under the name Salmo salar (Atlantic salmon). Its description in RNAcentral is "lncRNA (ENSSSAG00000108753.1)". The record is from RNAcentral. Lineage: Eukaryota; Metazoa; Chordata; Actinopteri; Salmoniformes; Salmonidae.
GAUGGACUACAAUCAAGUUGUAGAAACAUCUCAAGGAUGAUCAAUGGAAACAGGAUGCAUCUGUGCUCAAUUUCGAGUCUCAUAGCAAAUGGGCUGAAUACUUAUGUAAAUAAGGUAUUUCAGUUUUUAAUUUUUUAUACAUUUGCUAAUAUUUCUAAAAUCCUGUUUUCGCUUUUGUCAUUAUGGGGUAUUGCGUGUAGAUAGAUGAGGAAAACCAUUAAUUUAAUCAAAUUUAAAAUAAGGCUGUAACAUAAUAAAAUGUGGAAACUGGCAAGGGGUCUGAAUACUUACCGAAGACACUGUAUAUAGUGUAGAUAAUAUAUUUUUUAUUGUGAAACAAACAAGAAAUACAACAAAAAAACUGAAAACUUGAGCGUGCAUAACUAUUCACCCCUCCUACUUUGUAAAGCCACCUUUUGCAGCAAUUACAGCAGAAAGUCUCUUGGGGUAUGUCUCUGUAAGCUUGGUACAUCUAGCCACUGGCAUUUUUGCCCAUUCUUCAAAGAAAAACUGCUCCAGCUCCUUCAAGUUGGAUGGGUCCGGCUGGUGUACAGCAAUCUUUAAGUCAUACCACAGAUUCUCAAUUGGAUUGAGGUCUGGGCUUUGACUAGGCCAUUCCAAGACAUGUAAUUUUUACCCCUUAAACCACUUGAGUGUUGCUUUUGCAGUAUGCUUAGGGUCAUUGUCCUGCUGGAAGGUGAACCUCCGUUCUAGUCUCAAAUUUCUGGAAGACUGACACAGGUUUCCCUCAAGAAUUUCCCUGUAUUUAGUGCCAUCCAUCAUUCCUUAAAUUUUGACCAGUUUCCCAGUCCCUGCCGAUGAAAAACAUCCCCACAGCAUGAUGCUGCCACCACCAUACUUCACCGUGGGGAUGGUGUUCACGAGGUGAUGAGAGGUGUUGGAUUUGCGCCAGACAUUGUGUUUUCCUUGAUGGCCAAAAAGCUCAAUUUUAGUCUCAUCUGACCAGAGUACCUUCUUCCAUAUGUUUGGAGAAUCUCCCACAUGCCUUUUGGCGAACACCAAAGCAAAUGCUUUUUUUCUGGCCACUCUUCCGUAAAGCUUAGCUCUGUGGAGUGUACGGCUUAAAGUGGUCCUAUGGACAUAUUCUCCAAUCUCCGCUGUGGAGCUUUGCAUCUCCUUCAGGGUUAUCUUUCGUCUCUUUGUUGCCUCUCUGAUUAAUUCCCUCCUUGCCUGGUCUGUGAGUUUUGGUGGGCGGCCCUCUCUUGGCAGAUUUGUUGUGGUACCAUAUUAAAUUUUUUUAUAAUGGAUUUAAUGGUGCUCCGUGGGUUGUUCAAAGUUACCGAUAUGUUUUUAUAACCCAACCCUGAUCUGUAAUUCUCCACAACUUUGCCCCUGACCUGUUUGGAGAGCUCCAUGAUGCUGCUUUUUUGGUGGUGCUCGUUGCUUAGUGGUCUUACGGUCUUACAGGCAUUUCAGAACAGGUGUAUAUAUACUGAGAUCAUGUGACAGAUCAUGUGACACUUAGAUUGCACACAGGUGGACUUUAUUUAACUAAUUAUGUGACUUGCACCAGAUCUUAUUUAGGGGUUUCAUAACAAAGGGGUUUCAUAACAUAUGCACACCACUUUCCGUUUUGUAUUUUUUCCAUUUCACUUCACCAAUUUGGACUAUUUUGUGUAUGUCCAUUACAUGAAAUCCAAAUAAAAAUCCACAGCGUCUGAUCCCGUCAGCGGGAUCAAAAUCCAGCGAAAAAUCAUAUCGCCAAUUAGCAUAAAAUAAAAAUCAUAAUAAAAAAAAAAAAUAAUAAUACAUAUAUUUUUUUUUAUAGAUACACCUCUCCUGAAUCGACCCACGUCGUCCGAUUUCAAAAAGGUUUUACAGGAAAAGCAAAUCAUUAGAUUAUGUUAGAUGAGUCCAUCGUAAAAAGCAGCUUCAUAGCCAUUUUCCGACCAACCACUUGCAUCACAUAUAAUCAAAAAACAGCUAAAUGCAGCACUAACCUUUUACAAACUUCAUCAGAUGGCACCCCUAGGACAUCAUGUUAUACAAUGCAUGCAUUCUUUUGUUCAAUAAAGGUCAUAUUUAUAUAUAAAAACAGCAUUUUACAUCGGCGUCUGACGUUGACUAAAUAAUUUCCCCUCAAAUGCGUCCCGGUAAACAAUGCUACAAUUCCCUAAAUACUAUCCGAUAACGAUUUUUUAAAUUUAUAUUGUCAAUCUAACAUUUAUAGAUGAAUAUCUCUUGAGAACACCUGUCAUACCAGAUUUUAAAUUAACUUUACUGGGUAAUCACACUUUGCAAUAAAAGGAGAUGCGAUACUCAGAAAAUGAGCUAAUAUACAGAGCUCGGCGCCAUCUUGGCACAAUCGCAUGUCACAUCUCAUCUUGUAUAAUAUUGUCAAUAAUCGCCUACCUUUAGUUGUCUUCAUCAGAAAGCAUCCCAGGUCCACAAC